Molecule: transfer RNA, 76 nt
Filed under: Escherichia phage RB69
Lineage: Duplodnaviria; Heunggongvirae; Uroviricota; Caudoviricetes; Pantevenvirales; Straboviridae
Description: Enterobacteria phage RB69 tRNA
Rfam family: tRNA
About the family: Transfer RNA (tRNA) molecules are approximately 80 nucleotides in length. Their secondary structure includes four short double-helical elements and three loops (D, anti-codon, and T loops).
Source: Rfam by way of RNAcentral
CGAGGCAUAGCUCAAUUGUAUAGAGCAACGGGGACUUCUAAUCCGUAGGUUGAAGGUUAGAAUCCUUCUGUCUCGA